Helianthus annuus (common sunflower) is the source of this 119-nucleotide non-coding RNA. The record is from Rfam. NCBI's taxonomy places the organism in Eukaryota, Viridiplantae, Streptophyta, Magnoliopsida, Asterales, Asteraceae.
AGCCAUGCAAUGAGCACAAAGCGAACUAUUCUUUCGCCUUUUACUAAAGAAUACCGUGUGCUCGUUGUUUACAAAUGGCAUACGCCAAUUUUUGGAGAGCUCUUUCUUAUUGAAAGACU